RNAcentral lists this ribosomal RNA (866 nucleotides) under Enterococcus faecium. RNAcentral describes it as "bacterial SSU rRNA". It matches the Rfam family "Bacterial small subunit ribosomal RNA", at positions 56 to 892 of the family's 1533-position model. The record is from RNAcentral. Lineage: Bacteria; Bacillati; Bacillota; Bacilli; Lactobacillales; Enterococcaceae.
UGCAGUCGAACGCUUCUUUUUCCACCGGAGCUUGCUCCACCGGAAAAAGAGGAGUGGCGAACGGGUGAGUAACACGUGGGUAACCUGCCCAUCAGAAGGGGAUAACACUUGGAAACAGGUGCUAAUACCGUAUAACAAUCAAAACCGCAUGGUUUUGAUUUGAAAGGCGCUUUCGGGUGUCGCUGAUGGAUGGACCCGCGGUGCAUUAGCUAGUUGGUGAGGUAACGGCUCACCAAGGCCACGAUGCAUAGCCGACCUGAGAGGGUGAUCGGCCACAUUGGGACUGAGACACGGCCCAAACUCCUACGGGAGGCAGCAGUAGGGAAUCUUCGGCAAUGGACGAAAGUCUGACCGAGCAACGCCGCGUGAGUGAAGAAGGUUUUCGGAUCGUAAAACUCUGUUGUUAGAGAAGAACAAGGAUGAGAGUAACUGUUCAUCCCUUGACGGUAUCUAACCAGAAAGCCACGGCUAACUACGUGCCAGCAGCCGCGGUAAUACGUAGGUGGCAAGCGUUGUCCGGAUUUAUUGGGCGUAAAGCGAGCGCAGGCGGUUUCUUAAGUCUGAUGUGAAAGCCCCCGGCUCAACCGGGGAGGGUCAUUGGAAACUGGGAGACUUGAGUGCAGAAGAGGAGAGUGGAAUUCCAUGUGUAGCGGUGAAAUGCGUAGAUAUAUGGAGGAACACCAGUGGCGAAGGCGGCUCUCUGGUCUGUAACUGACGCUGAGGCUCGAAAGCGUGGGGAGCAAACAGGAUUAGAUACCCUGGUAGUCCACGCCGUAAACGAUGAGUGCUAAGUGUUGGGAGGGUUUCCGCCCUUCAGUGCUGCAGCUAACGCAUUAAGCACUCCGCCUGGGGAGUACGACCGCAAG